This 793-nucleotide ribosomal RNA is filed under the name Phaeosphaeria ampeli. RNAcentral's name for it is "partial 28S ribosomal RNA". It matches the Rfam family "Eukaryotic large subunit ribosomal RNA", at positions 100 to 912 of the family's 3401-position model. The record is from RNAcentral. Lineage: Eukaryota; Fungi; Ascomycota; Dothideomycetes; Pleosporales; Phaeosphaeriaceae.
GGCAACAGCUCAAAUUUGAAAUCUGGCUCUUUCAGGGUCCGAGUUGUAAUUUGCAGAGGGCGCUUUGGCGUUGGCAGCGGUCCAAGUUCUUUGGAACAGGACGUCACAGAGGGUGAGAAUCCCGUACGUGGUCGCUAGCCUUCGCCGUGUAAAGCCCCUUCGACGAGUCGAGUUGUUUGGGAAUGCAGCUCUAAAUGGGAGGUAAAUUUCUUCUAAAGCUAAAUACUGGCCAGAGACCGAUAGCGCACAAGUAGAGUGAUCGAAAGAUGAAAAGCACUUUGGAAAGAGAGUCAAAUAGCACGUGAAAUUGUUGAAAGGGAAGCGCUUGCAGCCAGACUUGCCUGUAGUUGCUUAUCUGGACUUUUGUCCGGUGCACUCUUCUGCGGGCAGGCCAGCAUCAGUUUGGGCGGUUGGAUAAAGGUCUCUGUCAUGUACCUCCUUUCGGGGAGGCCUUAUAGGGGAGACGACAUGCAACCAGCCUGGACUGAGGUCCGCGCAUCUGCUAGGAUGCUGGCGUAAUGGCUGUAAGCGGCCCGUCUUGAAACACGGACCAAGGAGUCUAACAUCUAUGCGAGUGUUUGGGUGUCAAGCCCAGACGCGUAAUGAAAGUGAACGGAGGUGGGAACCCUUUGGGUGCACCAUCGACCGAUCCUGAUGUCUUCGGAUGGAUUUGAGUAAGAGCAUGGCUGUUGGGACCCGAAAGAUGGUGAACUAUGCUUGAAUAGGGUGAAGCCAGAGGAAACUCUGGUGGAGGCUCGCAGCGGUUCUGACGUGCAAAUCGAUCGUCAAAUUU